UUAGGAAUCAUGCGCAAUGGGGGCAACCCUGACGCUGCGACGCCGCGUGAAGGAUGAAGGUCUUCGGAUCGUAAACUUCUUUUAUAUGGGACGAAUAAAUGACGGUACCAUAUGAAUAAGCACCUGCUAACUACGUGCCAGAAGCAUCGGUGAUGCGUAGGGUGCAAACGUUAUCCGGAUUUAUUGGGCGUAAAGAGAUGCGUAGGCGUCUCUGCAAGUCUUGUGUCAAAGCCAGUAGCUCAACUACUGAAAGGCAUUUGAAACUGCAGAGAUUGAGACAGAGAGGGGUGAAGGGAAUUCCCGGUGGAGUGGUGAAAUACGUUGAUAUCGGGAGGAACACCAGAGGCGAAGGCGCUUCACUGGAUCUGUUCUGACGCUAAGGCUCGAAAGCGUGGGAAGCAAAACGG
RNAcentral lists this ribosomal RNA (407 nucleotides) under uncultured bacterium. Its description in RNAcentral is "bacterial SSU rRNA". It matches the Rfam family "Bacterial small subunit ribosomal RNA", at positions 355 to 776 of the family's 1533-position model. The record is from RNAcentral.